RNAcentral lists this ribosomal RNA (506 nucleotides) under uncultured cyanobacterium. RNAcentral's name for it is "bacterial SSU rRNA". It matches the Rfam family "Bacterial small subunit ribosomal RNA", at positions 353 to 869 of the family's 1533-position model. The record is from RNAcentral. Lineage: Bacteria; Bacillati; Cyanobacteriota.
AGUGGGAAUUUUCCGCAAUGGGGGCAACCCUGACGGAGCAACGCCGCGUGCGGGAGGACGGCCUUAGGGUUGUAAACCGCUUUUCUCAGGGAAGAAGUACUGACGGUACUUGAGGAAUAAGCCUCGGCUAACUCUGUGCCAGCAUCCGCGGUAAGACGGAGGAGGCAAGCGUUAUCCGGAAUUAUUGGGCGUAAAGUGUCCGCAGGCGGCUAGUUAAGUCUGCUGUCAAAGCUCAGGGCUCAACUCUGAAUCGGCAGUGGAAACUGAUUAGCUAGAGAGCGGUAGGGGUAGAGGGAAUUCCCGGUGUAGCGGUGAAAUGCGUAGAUAUCGGGAAGAACAUCAGUGGAGAAGUCGCUCAAAAGGCCCGCCACUGACGUUGAGGGACGAAAGCUAGGGGAGCGAAAGGGAUUAGAUAUUCCUGUAGUCCUAGUCAGUAACUUGAUGGACAAUAGAUGUUGUUCGUCAUCGAUACGUUCCAGUAUCGAAGCAUAACGCGUUAAUUUUUG